Non-coding RNA from Odocoileus virginianus texanus, 3357 nucleotides. NCBI's taxonomy places the organism in Eukaryota, Metazoa, Chordata, Mammalia, Artiodactyla, Cervidae. The record is from RefSeq and is a predicted model, not a curated record.
ACUUUUAAGUUCAUUAAAAAUGGGAUUCUAUCUUCAGAUUAAAAUUUUUUAGUUCAGAAGAAGCUGUGUUCAAAUGAGCUAUGGGUACAAAAAAAGAAAAUCACCGCAGACUGUCUAAUUAAAACAAGCAAAAUCAUUUUGAAAAUGAAGAGGAAAAACAGAAGGUGUUUUCAUGGCAUUUUUUAUGAACUACUGCAACUGGUUAAGGAUUUCCAGUAGGUACUUAAAAUUUCAGGAGGAAUGGAUAGUACUAUACAAAUAACAAAAUGUGUUUAUAUUCUAAGACCUUAAUACUAAAUUUUUAAAACAGAAGCUCUAUCACCUCUAAAAAUGAGCCCAAUGUAAUUUUAUUAAAACCAGGAAUUCUAGGCUUUCCUAUAAUUAUAACCCAAUUAGUCCACUCUGUCAAACCUUUAAUAUUCAUCCCCAAAAGUAACAGUAUUUAGCCUGAGGUAUUUUAAAUGUGGCUCUACAGUCCCUAAUUUAAUGGCAUUUCCCGCCUCUAACAAUGGUCUUAUUUUCACUUUAGUUCCAUGACCUCUAUAGUAUUUACUACAAUAUAGUCAGAAUUAAAAUAGCUGGAAAAAAUCCUAGGACCCCUUGAAACAGCUGCUCAUUACCUACUUCUGUUAAAACAGGAGCCACACAAAGGUCUACAAGUGUUGCCCGACUGGAUCCAGAAUAAAGACUGGAGAUGGCCCUUUCCAUGGCUCAGAAGAUCUUAAGCAGGCCUUGUUUUACCUACCCUUAUACCUGGAGUGAGCAUAGGGUCCUGGACAGGUGGUUGUCUGAAGAGUUCAUGCGAAAUAAUAUAGAGUGCUGGAGGUAAUUGGAGAGAACCCUAAUAUCAUUAAAGGUCUGAAAGAUGCCAGGAGUGCUGGAGUGGGAUCAAGAAAGAGGUGUCAGUUCCCGAGCUCCCAGCAGUGACCGUCAGCAAGGGACAGAAGGUGAAUACAGUUUGUUAGGUGUAUGGCAACAGCAAAGAAGCAGGCUUCCAUGUAACCUGUUAGGGAUGGACAUAUACCAGGGGAAGACUUUCAGGUGGAUAACAUAUUUUCCAGGUUUUGGCCUUGGCUUUCCUGACUGAGUAGAUGCCUGUUUACAGGUGCUGCCUCUUUGUGAAGACACCAGUACUCCAUUCACAUAUCUUACCAGAUAAGGUAAUCCUGUUUCCAGGAUUGAGGACACUGUGCAUCCUGUAUUUAGACAAUGUAGUUUUCACCUUAUUGGUUAAAAUCCUUCAUGAUGAUGAUACAGGUAUAGGCCAUACCUGUACCUGGGUGUCCCCUGACUAACAGCUUCACGCAGAGCACUCCAAAAAUAAGAGUCUGUAAACCACCCUGAGAUGAGAAAGCAGACUCCUUGCCAGGGUGCUAGCAAGGCUUAGGAGAGCCUGUGGGGUCUGCUCAUUGUCAGUAUUCCAACUCAUUGAUACUGAUGGUUUCGGUGGGCAUAGAGUGCAGGGGCUGUGUAGCACAUGUGUUAAUCAUUCUGUAUUCUCUAGUGUCUGUCCUUGUGCCUUGCUCAUAGUAGGUACUCUAUAAACAUUUAUUGAUUGAAUUGAUGAGGCUUGGAAAAAAUAUCCAGAAGCAGUUAUGGCAUAUAAUACUUGCUUUUAUGAGCUGAUAUAAUUUCUCAUUCAGCCACACAAAGAUCUCUUAGUCACAUAAAAUAAUCUUUUAUUUUAACCUGGAUUUUUUUUUUUUUGUUUUAACAGUGCUUUUAAAAAAUCUGUUGCUUUAAUAGGUGUGUUUUAGCAGGGCACUUUUUCUAGCAAUUUAUAUCACUACCAUGUUCAGUAUUUGUAUUAGUGGAAAUCUCAACAUUCUAACAAAGGCUGGGACUCAUAGUAUUUGAGUUUUAAAAUCUUUCUUAGAGACGUAGAAUAUACACAAAUGCCUUGCAUAUGUUCCAAUAGAGUGUGGGCAGAACUAGGAUCAUAGUCAUGUGCAACAGAAGCCCUCUAUUUGCAUAUUAAUUAAUUUCUAAUAGUGAAGCUCUCUAUUAGCUUAGUGUUAGUAUACAUGGGUGUAUCUGGGUAUAUGGUAAGUAAGACAUGUUUGUGUUUGUACAGGUAGUCAACAUGGCUUAGCAAUAAUUUUGGGGAAUUUUUUAGUUCUAUUAAUAUUACUAGCUUACAGUAUUUUCAUCAAUUCCUAAUUGUGUUUUCAGUGACUACAGUAGAAAUUUUAAACACAAACUGAGUUUCAGUGCAUUACAAAAAGCACAAUUUUGACUUUCUGUCAGUCUUCCUUCCUUGUGGUUUGCAGUUAAGAUAUGGAGCAGAAAGUGCCUAGGAUGUAAAGAAUCAGGAUGCAGUGGUGAGGGUUGAGGAUGGGAACUCAGGUCCUACUCUGGGCUUAGUGUCAUUGAGAGGUCAAUGCACUUUGAUGACACCUCUGAAUGAUUUUUGUUUUACAGAGGUGGACUUGCUUCUUAAGUCUCAACAGUGCUAAUAAAAGCAGAGUUCUGCUUUAGCUUUGCGUGGGUCUGCAUAAUUUUAGAGCAUUGAUUAUUCAGCUCAUGGAACAUGCAUAUCUAAGAGCAUAGACUUUAGAAUUUAAGUCUUGACUCCACCAGUAAGGAGUCUGUGAUACUGAGCUAGGUAAAUAACCUCUUUAAGCCUUGAUUUUUCUUACCUGUAAACAUGGGGUUAACAAUAGUAGAUGCCAGAAGGUCCGAUGAUAGAUUAAAUGCUUAGGCAAGUCUUACCUUAGCAUCUGGCAGUUAGUAAUUGCUCAAUAAAUGCUAGCUAUUAUUAUUUCUAGUGAGUCUACUGUCUCUUCGGUCAUUUAUCUCCAUUGGCAGAGAUGUCAGAUACUCUCAUAGAUAGCAUUUUCAAGAGAUAAAUUACACAGGGUUUGCUCAACUUUAGAAAUGUUAUAUGAGACUUGAGUGAUCUCCUUUGUAAGCCAAGAACUAGUGCAAACAAAGCAGGUGACAGAGGAACACAUGGGGUGUGUGAAGCUGCAUUUCUCAAUUAGAAUUUGAGGCCACUCUAAAGUGAGCAGAAAAGAUAACCUGUGUGUGGAUGAAGUGACAUUGAUUCAGCACAGGUACGUGAACAGCUACUAAAUGUAAUCAGAUAUUAUGCAAAUUGAGCCUCUGUUGUUGCAUUCUAAUGACAACUCUCCUGUAAGUAACACUUAUUUCAGGAUUUUACUUAUUCUCAUUAAAUAAGCCCAAGGUUGUUUGCAUUCCUCAAAAAGGAAAACUGUCAGUAAGAACUCUGAGUCAUGCUUCAUACAACAGCUACACCUGUGUCUUUGAUUUGAUUGAAUAUAUAUAUUUAAUGAACCUAGAGAUUUUAACUUUCAAAUACUUGAGUUAAUGGCUCAGGAAACUCAAACAGGGGCU